RNAcentral lists this ribosomal RNA (441 nucleotides) under uncultured bacterium. RNAcentral describes it as "partial 16S ribosomal RNA". It matches the Rfam family "Bacterial small subunit ribosomal RNA", at positions 338 to 795 of the family's 1533-position model. The record is from RNAcentral.
CCUACGGGUGGCAGCAGUAGGGAAUCUUUCACAAUGGGCGAAAGCCUGAUGGAGCAACGCCGCGUGCAGGAUGAAGGCCUUCGGGUUGUAAACUGCUUUUAUAAGCGAGAAAUAUGAUGGUAACUUAUGAAUAAGGAUCGGCUAACUACGUGCCAGCAGCUGCGGUCAUACGUAGGAUCCGAGCAUUAUCCGGAGUGACUGGGUGUAAAGAGUUGCGUAGGCGGGACUGCAAGUCAGAUGUGAAAACCAUGGGCUCAACCCAUGGCCUGCAUUUGAAACUGUAGUUCUUGAGUGUUGGAGAGGCAGGCGGAAUUCCGUGUGUAGCGGUGAAAUGCGUAGAUAUACGGAGGAACACCAGUGGCGAAGGCGGCCUGCUGGACAAUAACUGACGCUGAGGCGCGAAAGCGUGGGGAGCAAACAGGAUUAGAUACCCUUGUAGUC